UGUGCAACCAGUGAGUGUAAUUUAAUGAAUAAUCACCUAACCCCCCCCCCCCCCCCAUAUACGAAUUUAUCUACAAUUGUUUAAUAUGAAAAUAAUUGAUUAUGAAUUAUAAGUAAAAAUUGUAUCCAUUCUGCCGUACACUUGCACCAUUUUGUGAAAUCGAAGCACCAUGCAACCGUACAGGUGGAGUCUAAAAGCUGGUCAAGCAAAUCCAUGGUGCCUUUUAAGAGCGUCACCGGCAAAACCUAAGACUUCUGGUGGCUGGCCAGUGGCCCUCUCAGAACAGCCAGAAAACCACCGGUGAACGGUGGUUGGCGAUCCAGAUACAGAUUAUCUGUAUAUAUCUGCAUUAGGAGCUUGGUGAACAAAAGACAAACUGUCAAUUCUUAAACCUAACUUCAAAGAAAUUAAUUUCAAGAAGAAAUAUUGCAUAUCUUUGAUAAAGAAUUAUUAUUAACUUCCAUUAUGAUCAAUUAGUUCGCAAUUAGAAAGAGUUCUUUUUGUUUCAAUUCCAUAUAACCUGACAGUAAAUUAAGAAAUGAAUAAAAUACUUCUGAGACCAGAAAUUAAUUGAUAAAUACAUGUCUGAUGGCAAUUUGCUUAUUAACAGAUACAUCAGAUGGAAGUGGCGGUGCCGGUUAUGACUGUGAAAUAGCCAAGAAUAUUAACACCGCCAUGAUCAAGACUGGGACGAUGAAAACAAUGACAGGCGGCGGUGGAAGUGGUGGCAGAACCAGUGGCAACACCAGGAGUGUUACUGUAAACAGUAUCAUUAUUAUGAUCCACCCAAAACAAGAAUUCCUCAGCAUCAGAUUCUUGAACUGCCCUUUUUCUUCAUUUUUCAUCACCUCAAACGCCAUAGUUUCUUCAAAUCUCUUGAAUAUCACCUUCAUGCAUUUCAACAGAAAACAACACUGAUAUAAAUGGCCUCUUUAUGUCUCUGUUUAUGUCUUUACAACGGGGAGAAGACGCGUAAGCUGACAAAGCAGGAUCAAUUGUGGGGUGGAUACAUAGUAUCCUAGGAUUUAUUUUUUUUUUUCUUUAAUUUUUUUUUUAUCUGUUUCUUUUCUAAUAUAUUUGGGAGUUGGGAGUUUUUCACAUUGGAAUUUGCUUUUAAAAUUGAUUAAGCAAGCAAACCCAGUUGAUCUUGCCUCCUUCUUUCCUUUUUUUUUUUUUCUUUUUUAUGGCUACAUUUCUUUUCAAAAAAAAAUUUGACUAACUGGCAUUCUAAAUUUUGUAUAAUAACAAUUUCAAAGAUUUGUGUUGCCAUUUUAAUCUUUUGAGUUGAAGCUGCAUCCUAUAAGGUCUUGAAUGCAAAGAAAGUAGAUGAUUUCAACAUGAAAGUUGGUCUAAUUAUAAACAAAAAUGAUAGAUGUGCACUCCAACAUUUGAUGUGUUGUUAAAAAGGUUAGAGGGAAAUUUGUUUAUUUUUUUAAGCUGUCCAAUGCUAUGUUGCCUCGUG
RNAcentral lists this long non-coding RNA (1462 nucleotides) under Olea europaea subsp. europaea. The record is from RNAcentral. Lineage: Eukaryota; Viridiplantae; Streptophyta; Magnoliopsida; Lamiales; Oleaceae.